Molecule: ribosomal RNA, 461 nt
Filed under: uncultured organism
Description: bacterial SSU rRNA
Rfam family: Bacterial small subunit ribosomal RNA
Source: RNAcentral
GAUGAACGCUGGCGGCGUGCUUAAUACAUGCAAGUCGAACGGAGACAGUAGCAAUAUUGUCUCAGUGGCGAACGGGUGAGUAACGCGUUGGUGACCUGCCCCGAAGAGGGGGAUAACAGUCCGAAAGGAUUGCUAAUACCCCAUGUGGUCAAGAGGAUUAGAUGCCUUAUGACUAAACGGAGAAAUUCGCUUCGGGAGGGGCCUGCGUCCCAUCAGCUAGUUGGUAGGGUAAUAGCCUACCAAGGCGAUGACGGGUAGGGGACCUGAGAGGGUGGCCCCCCACAAUGGAACUGAAACACGGUCCAUACACCUACGGGUGGCAGCAGUAGGGAAUAUUGGUAAUCUGGGAAACCGGGAACCAGCAACGCCGCGUGCGCGAUGAAGGCCUUCGGGUUGUAAAGCGCUUUUUGAGAGGAUGAGGAAGGACAGUACUCUUAGAAUAAGCCUCGGCUAACUACGUG